Small nucleolar RNA from Delphinapterus leucas (beluga whale), 135 nucleotides. Ensembl annotates it as small nucleolar RNA SNORA1. The record is from Ensembl. Lineage: Eukaryota; Metazoa; Chordata; Mammalia; Artiodactyla; Monodontidae.
AGCCUCAUACAGUUGAAAAUGGGCACUGUUGUUCAUGGUGCCCGUAAAUUGUUAAUGUGGCUACAUUGAGAACACAGGUUUUGCUUCCAUCACUGUAAUUUCAUUGCGGUGGUGACAAUGAGACCUGCAACAUUU